AAGGUAAAAGGCAGAGUGGCCUCUGUGGCCAGGGAGCCGCAGGCAAGGGACUAAGGGGAGGGGGGCUCAGUGCCAGCUGCUUAAAAAUGCCCCUGUGGCAGCGAGGGGCACCAGAGGCUGGGUCUAAUUAGUUGAGAAGCAGUGACAACCCCAACCACUCACCAAACAGGCUGGUUCCCAUCUCCAGGCCCCAAGGAGCCACACCUGGACCAGAUCCCAGGAAAGGCAAGGGCACUGACUGGUGGGAGCCACCCCUGCCACGCUGAUGUUGGAGAAGCAAGAACUCUGGAGAAGCAGCCUCCUGGGACCAGAGGAGGGCCAGCAGCGGGCAGCUCAGAGACAGAACUCUCACCCACGCCUCCCCAAGCCUCCCGACAGAAGACAGAGGUCCCCCACGGCCCAGAGACAUUUCCUGAAGACAUGGGGAGCACAGAGGCGGAAACAGCCCAUCCACCCAGGAGCGGCCCCCAAUGCUGCCUGCAGCCAGCACCCAGAGCCAUCAGGUAAAACUGAGGCCACCUGGCUCAACAUUGCUUUUCACAGAAGGGGAAACAGCCACAGAGAGAAGGGCCUGGUAAGAAGUGCAACCUGGGACCCCCAAGCGGUGGCUCUCAUCCUGACCGGGGAUCCAGAGUAGGAGGGAGCCUUUGGUGGGGUAAGUGGAAUGGGGGAGGGGUGGCCAUAGACCCCUCUUCUCAGUGAGGCCCUCAGGUGAAGGAGGCAGGGGUUGGGACAAGUGCUAAGUGUGCAAGACUCCAGGGAAGAGCUGCUGGAGCCAGGAGAAGCCCCUCCCUCCCAGCCCCUCUGCCCCUCCUCUCAGCCCAGCUGCACUGACUCCUCCUCUGGGAAGCCUUCUCAGCUUCCCCAGGGGUGGGAACUUUUUGUCCUCUGAGUGUGCUUGGCUGUCCUUUCUAGGGCACGCUCUCUCUUUCUCUCUUUCUCUCUCUCUCUCUCUCUCUCUCUCUCUCUCUCUCUCGCUCUCAUCCCACUUGAGUCUGUCCCCUGUUCACCUUGUGAGGGGCAGUUUCCUUCUACUCAAUCUGACUGAGGUCCUCCAGCUCAAGGACGGCGUGUCUCUCAGUCCCACUUCCCCUUGGCCCAUAGAAGAGGCAGUGUGCUGAAUGGGCAGGUGAAAUGAUUAAACCCUGCCCCCGAACCUAAGGUCUGGCCAAUUGCUCAGGGCAUGAGACAUUCAGUGUAGAGGUUAAAAUGAGGGCCCUGGGUUAGGAACCCCAGUUCAGUUCCCAGCUCUGUACCCUUGGAAAAAUCCAUUCCCAGGGAGCUUUGUGGAUGCACAGGGACUUGCGUAAUGAAAACAUUCAAUAUCCAGGACUAUAAAAUUCCACAAAUGACCAUGCUUAUUACAUUCAUAAUCAUGAUGAUUAUUCCAGACACAAAGGAACAGAAUGAGGCACCAACAGCCAGGGGUGGGCAGAUUCAAGGGCCACAGAGGAAAUGGAGGCAAACACCUUCCCCUGGUCAGAGUCUGUGCCUCAGCCCUUCUCCCUGCAUCAGUUUCUCCUUCAGAAGCGUGGGACUACCUCCCAUCUAGUUCCUGGUUCUAAACCCAGGGGAGAUGUUAUCUUUGCUGCAAUAAUCUUAGCCUACAUCUUGGAAUGGAAAUGGCCUUGGUGGAAAUGGUCUUCAACUCUCCUGGUCCAAGCUCAGGCCCUGUGACCCUGGAACAACCCCCUUCCCUUCCUGGUCCUCUAUGUAGAAGCAAUAACAUUCCGUUGCCAGCGGCACCAGCCAUUCUGAUGAUUAAAUGGGAUCGGACACUGUUUCCCAAACUCAGUCAUUCAGAUGCCCCCUAUUUUAUUUCUUCCAUGUCUGCAAACGAUUAUAAUAUUUUUAAAUGUA
Chlorocebus sabaeus (green monkey) is the source of this 1860-nucleotide long non-coding RNA. RefSeq lists it as uncharacterized. The record is from RefSeq and is a predicted model, not a curated record. NCBI's taxonomy places the organism in Eukaryota, Metazoa, Chordata, Mammalia, Primates, Cercopithecidae.